UUUAAAUUGAGAGUUUGAUCCUGGCUCAGGACGAACGCUGGCGGCGUGCCUAACACAUGCAAGUCGAGCGAUGAAACUUCCUUCGGGAAGUGGAUUAGCGGCGGACGGGUGAGUAACACGUGGGUAACCUGCCUCAAAGAGGGGGAUAGCCUCCCGAAAGGGAGAUUAAUACCGCAUAACAUUAUUUUAUGGCAUCAUAGAAUAAUCAAAGGAGUAAUCCGCUUUGAGAUGGACCCGCGGCGCAUUAGCUAGUUGGUGAGGUAAGGGCUCACCAAGGCGACGAUGCGUAGCCGACCUGAGAGGGUGAUCGGCCACAUUGGAACUGAGACACGGUCCAGACUCCUACGGGA
Molecule: ribosomal RNA, 350 nt
Filed under: Clostridium novyi B str. NCTC 9691
Lineage: Bacteria; Bacillati; Bacillota; Clostridia; Eubacteriales; Clostridiaceae
Description: bacterial SSU rRNA
Rfam family: Bacterial small subunit ribosomal RNA
Source: RNAcentral